AUUGAACGCUGGCGGCAGGCUUUACACAUGCAAGUCGAACGGUAACAGGGAGCUUGCUCCGCUGACGAGUGGCGAACGGGUGAGUAAUGCGUCGGAACGUGCCGAGUAGUGGGGGAUAACGCAGCGAAAGUUGUGCUAAUACCGCAUACGUACUGAGGUAGAAAGGGGGGGACCUUCGGGCCUCACGCUAUUCGAGCGGCCGACGUCUGAUUAGCGAGUAGGUGAGGUAAAGGCUCACCUAGGCGACGAUCAGUAGCGGGUCUGAGAGGAUGGACCGCCACACAUGGACUGAGACACGGCCCAGACUCCUACGGAAGGCAGCAGUGGGGAAGUUUGGACAAUGGGCGAAAGCCUGAUCCAGCCAUGCCGCGUGUCUGAAGAAGGCCUUCGGGUUGUAAGGGACUUUUGUCGGGGAGGAAAUCCCCAGCGCUAAUACCGCUGGGGGAUGACAGUACCUGAAGAAUAAGCACCGGCUAACUACGUGCCAGCCGCCGCCGUAA
This 500-nucleotide ribosomal RNA is filed under the name uncultured bacterium. Its description in RNAcentral is "partial 16S ribosomal RNA". It matches the Rfam family "Bacterial small subunit ribosomal RNA", at positions 29 to 523 of the family's 1533-position model. The record is from RNAcentral.